CCUACGGGAGGCAGCAGUGGGGAAUUUUGGACAAUGGGCGAAAGCCUGAUCCAGCCAUGCCGCGUGCAGGAUGAAGGCCUUCGGGUUGUAAACUGCUUUUGUACGGAACGAAACGGUCUCUUCUAAUAAAGGGGGCUAAUGACGGUACCGUAAGAAUAAGCACCGGCUAACUACGUGCCAGCAGCCGCGGUAAUACGUAGGGUGCAAGCGUUAAUCGGAAUUACUGGGCGUAAAGCGUGCGCAGGCGGUUAUAUAAGACAGUUGUGAAAUCCCCGGGCUCAACCUGGGAACUGCAUCUGUGACUGUAUAGCUAGAGUACGGUAGAGGGGGAUGGAAUUCCGCGUGUAGCAGUGAAAUGCGUAGAUAUGCGGAGGAACACCGAUGGCGAAGGCAAUCCCCUGGACCUGUACUGACGCUCAUGCACGAAAGCGUGGGGAGCAAACAGGAUUAGAUACCCUGGUAGUCCACGCCCUAAACGAUGUCAACUGGUUGUUGGGUCUUCACUGACUCAGUAACGAAGCUAACGCGUGAAGUUGACCGCCUGGGGAGUACGGCCGCAAGGUUGAAACUUAAAUGAAUUGACGG
This 585-nucleotide ribosomal RNA is filed under the name uncultured bacterium. RNAcentral describes it as "bacterial SSU rRNA". It matches the Rfam family "Bacterial small subunit ribosomal RNA", at positions 338 to 916 of the family's 1533-position model. The record is from RNAcentral.